This 589-nucleotide unclassified non-coding RNA is filed under the name Fusarium oxysporum. RNAcentral's name for it is "partial miscellaneous RNA". The record is from RNAcentral. Lineage: Eukaryota; Fungi; Ascomycota; Sordariomycetes; Hypocreales; Nectriaceae.
AUUUCCCCAAUGGGUUCUCCGGAUUUCUGGAGACUUGUAGGGGUUGUGGGAUUUUUGAUGUGUCGUCUCCGGACGGGCGGUGCAGGGUAGUCGAGUUAGACUUGGUGGAAUUCCGUCGAUAGGAGUUCCGUCGAGUCUGGUCGGCUGUGUGUUGGACGGUGCAGGGUAGGCUGCUUGGACAUGGUCGGUUCGAGGAUCGAUUCGAGGGCCGGCGCCUGUCGAUGAUGUGUGAUGUAUGCGGUCUAGGGUAGGCUGGUUUGUCUUGGUUCAAUUUGAUGUCGGCUCCCGUGCAGGCCAGAGUGAGGUAGGUACAGGGUAGGCAGCUUAUAUUUGGUCGAUCUGGAGGUCGAUUCUCCGGUUGGCGGAUCUGACACUGUCGAAACGAGAUGCGAGCGGUGUAGGGUAGGCUAGUUUCGUCCUCGCCAGGUUGCGACUUGGACGAGAUAUGUGGUCUAGGGUAGGCUCUAGGGUAAGUAGAAUUCGAGUUUCGUCGCCGAUAGUUUUCUGUGGGUGUAUGGUAGGUGCAGGGUAGGCAAAUCUCUCUCCGGCCAGUACUUGUCUGGUGGUCGUGAGUCGAUUUUUUUGUUUU